GAUCAAGUGUCGUAAGGGUAUUUAGUGGAUGCCU
RNAcentral lists this ribosomal RNA (34 nucleotides) under Rhizobium sp. Glm-10. RNAcentral's name for it is "partial 23S ribosomal RNA". Lineage: Bacteria; Pseudomonadati; Pseudomonadota; Alphaproteobacteria; Hyphomicrobiales; Rhizobiaceae. RNAcentral also lists the same sequence under 1 other name. The record is from RNAcentral.